This 670-nucleotide unclassified non-coding RNA is filed under the name Hevea brasiliensis (rubber tree). Lineage: Eukaryota; Viridiplantae; Streptophyta; Magnoliopsida; Malpighiales; Euphorbiaceae. The record is from RNAcentral.
GGUGUCCACGUCUGUUUAUAAAGAUGGGUUUCCCACUUUGAUUCUGCCACCUUUUGACAACCCUAGUUAAAAGGAGGGAUGUUAUUUGAAGUUUUUGGUGUCAUAAAUGAAGGCUUCUAUUAGCCUAUUAUCUCUGGUGAUUGCCUUGCUUGGAGUUUUCCUACAAUUGUUGUCUUAAUGCAAAGUUUAAGGUUUUUACCCCUAGUUUUAAUUUUGAACCCAUAGUUUUUGCCAGGGAUUGGUCCUAACCUCGCUCGUAAAAGUGGUUCCUCUUGUAGACGUGAAAUUUGACACUAGUGGAGAAAAGUCAUAGGGGACUAUUAGUGUAGUGUCGUUCAAUUGCAACUGUCUUGUUUGUUUUGGGGUAUUAAAUUUACUUGUUGGAAAGGAAAAAAAAAAAGUCAUAUUUGAAAGGUUAAGUGAUGAAGCAUCACUAUCCAGGCCCAAGGAAAGAAAAGGCUCAAAAUUUAAUGUUUAAUAAGGAUGCACAUUUCUUCACCAUCCAAUUGUAGCAUGCAUACCUUUUUCAUUUUAUGAUUAGAGAAUCAUCAAAGAUGUGAAAUAUUAUUAUUGUGUGUGGGUGGACCACUCUGAUCUUGUCCCCUUCCCAUUCUUUAUUUAUUUCAUUGUUUUGGCUGGUGAAAGGACCCUUGCACGGGGAGUGGUCAGG